This 1461-nucleotide long non-coding RNA is filed under the name Medicago truncatula (barrel medic). RNAcentral's name for it is "long non-coding RNA (MTRU_LNC004418)". Lineage: Eukaryota; Viridiplantae; Streptophyta; Magnoliopsida; Fabales; Fabaceae. The record is from RNAcentral.
UCAUUCACCAUUCUCCCUUCUUAUGAAUUUGUCCAACGCAUGUUAUAUUAUACAAUUUUGGGUGCAACAAUUUAUCCUUUUAAAACCAAUCAUUUUCAAAAUGAAGGAGAGGGAUGAUCCCUUGCUUUCACCAGUUGGUGAUAGUGAACCUACUUUCAGAACAAUCCAUUUUCUCAAACUUGUUGUAAACUUUGUUGAUGGACAAUAUUUUAAGUUUAACAUAUUUUCAUUAUUAUCUUUUGUUUUUGAACUAAAGGAUCGGCAUGAAAAUUAACUUCACUGGAUGGCUCUACGAACAACAUCAACACCAUUUCAAGUAGAUCUCUCAUCCAUGGCAACAUAUCCAAAUUCAAAUGAUUUAUUCCUAUAGACAAGGUAAAUAAUAGAGAUUUGUUGUUUGAUAUAUUUUUUUCAAUAAUUUGCUCUUCUAAACAUAUAUUGAGUUUAUUCAUUUGAUUUUUCAAUUUUCAGCAUUUGCAGUUGACUGAAAUGUAUUCUAAUAUGUCAUUUCUUAUUUAAUGGUGAAACUUAACUAUGCAUGUUUUUUUUUUGCUCAAUCAUGUUAUAUAGUUAUGUAAAACCUAUUAGAUGUUUAUGCAUCAUAAAUAAGAUUGAACUUUAAAAUAUAAAAAUAGAUUCAAUGUUCCUUUCUAGAUAUAGAUACCAUGCAUCUCCAAUUCUAAACAUUGAUAACUUAAUAUCCUUUCUUGGUUUUAUUAUAAUGAUCAAAGGUUGGUAGUAUGUGUAUACCUAUAAGUAAGGGUGACUUUGCUAUUUAAAAUUCAUAUAGUUGGGAAAAAAAUAGCCCUACCCUUAUUUUAAACAAUAUAUUGAUGAUGUGGAACACUCAAAUAUACAUAUAAAUUAUUAUUUUCAUUUUACAUAAUUAAUUUCAAACAAUGAGAAUCGUUUUGGUUUUUCUCUACAUUCCUUAUUUAUAACAAAGUUAAAUAUAUAAAUGUUUCAAACCAUGUGGGAUAACAAAUGGAUGAAGAAUUUACAUUUCAUAAUUUAGAUUUUAAUUCUUGUUGCUAGAACUAUGACAUAUUAAAUCCUUAAUAGAUGUUUGCAAAUGUAUAGCUUUUAGGUCAGGGUUGCAUACAUAGCUAGACUAUGUUUAACUUUUCACUAUCAAUAUCCCUACUCUGAUGAAUAAAUAUUUAUUAUAAACAAAUAUUCAAUAGCAAAAUAGAUUUUCCACGUAAUACAACGAAUCUGUAGACAUGCACUGAAAAGUCAAAAUAUAUUCUUGUUUCUGUCAUAUAUGUUAAUUUAGGAAGGCGGUUGAAGUGUUGAUAAUGUUAACAAUGAUGUUGGUGACGAUGAUAAUAAAGAUCCUAUAUAUAAUUACAAUGGUGUCUUUAUCAUUACUCUAAAAAAGAAGGUAAUUUAUAUUUGAUUUCCUAUACUUUAAUUUUCUCAACUUAAAUCUUUCCUCACUUCACCUUUUUUGAAUUAUAU